CUGGAAUCCUGGAACUCCACACAAAGGCACCUGUUGUCCUGACAACCCCUGAGGCGUAGGGGAGAAGCAGUGGGGAGGCCCUUCCAUUUUUCUAUCAUGUGUCUGUCAGGAGGGGAACAAGAUUACGAAAUUGUGAGCAAAUACAGGCACGAGAAACCCCAUGGAAGCACAUGGAAAUUGGAAAUGGGAUGAAUAAGACAUGGUUGCUGACUCAGUCUUACUGCGUGAUCAUGGACUAAUCACUUCACUGAGACUUGGCUUAUCUCAUUGGUAAAGUGAAAACUAUAGUUCUUCCUGAUAGGAAUGUUGUCAGGACCAAAUGAGAUAAUAGUUGAAAAA
RNAcentral lists this long non-coding RNA (339 nucleotides) under Vulpes vulpes (red fox). Its description in RNAcentral is "lncRNA (ENSVVUG00000015426.1)". Lineage: Eukaryota; Metazoa; Chordata; Mammalia; Carnivora; Canidae. The record is from RNAcentral.